AGUGAACGCUGGCGGUAGGCCUAACACAUGCAAGUCGAACGGCAGCACAGUAAGAGCUUGCUCUUACGGGUGGCGAGUGGCGGACGGGUGAGGAAUACAUCGGAAUCUACUUUUUCGUGGGGGAUAACGUAGGGAAACUUACGCUAAUACCGCAUACGACCUACGGGUGAAAGCAGGGGAUCUUCGGACCUUGCGCGAUUGAAUGAGCCGAUGUCGGAUUAGCUAGUUGGCGGGGUAAAGGCCCACCAAGGCGACGAUCCGUAGCUGGUCUGAGAGGAUGAUCAGCCACACUGGAACUGAGACACGGUCCAGACUCCUACGGGAGGCAGCAGUGGGGAAUAUUGGACAAUGGGCGCAAGCCUGAUCCAGCCAUACCGCGUGGGUGAAGAAGGCCUUCGGGUUGUAAAGCCCUUUUGUUGGGAAAGAAAAGCAGCAGGUUAAUACCCCGCUGUUCUGACGGUACCCAAAGAAUAAGCACCGGCGAACCUCGU
This 491-nucleotide ribosomal RNA is filed under the name uncultured bacterium. RNAcentral's name for it is "partial 16S ribosomal RNA". It matches the Rfam family "Bacterial small subunit ribosomal RNA", at positions 29 to 506 of the family's 1533-position model. The record is from RNAcentral.